Molecule: long non-coding RNA, 893 nt
Filed under: Phoenix dactylifera (date palm)
Lineage: Eukaryota; Viridiplantae; Streptophyta; Magnoliopsida; Arecales; Arecaceae
Description: long non-coding RNA (PDAC_LNC000043)
Source: RNAcentral
GUAUUCUUCAAUCCCAAACAGCAGAGCUCCUUUAAAUAUUAUGGAAACAGGGAGAAAGAAACAGGGAGAAAGAAGUAGGGAGAAACAGGAAGAAACAGGGAUAAAGAAAUAGGGAGAAAUAGGAAGAAAGAAAUAGGGAGAAAUGGGGACAAAGAAAGGAGAUUGAUCGCGAUCGUGAUUGCCCGCAAUUCCUUGGGAUUGUCUGUGAUCCGCCCGCGACUAGCAUCCAAGCAAUCCGUCUCCAAGACUUCUUUGCUCAUAAGUAAUUCAUCCCCAUUAUCUCACGUUACUUUCUCCUCAGAUAAACACAAAGAAAACCAAUCUGUUUUAAUCAAACAACAUCCAAAUAUCAUUUUGUGGCUAAAUAUACUGCUUGCCAAUGAAAACAAAAAAUGUGGAUUCAUUGAUGGUAAAAAAGGGAGGAUCAUUGCUUUAAAGAAAACCAAAUAAAUUGCAUCAAGUUUUUCUUAUCGAAAACACCUGAUUGCCAUCAAAUUAAGAUCAAAACCUUCCACCAAAAAUGGAAAAAAAGAAGAAAGGAGAUCAAAACGGAGCAACAGAACCCACCAAAUCUGUAGUUUUUUGAGGGAGACAAAUCUUUAUGGUCUCAUUUUUGUCUGAAACCUCAAACAAAUCUCAGGUCUCCCAAACACGGCGGGGGAUUUACUACCUUCGCUACGUUCAUCGACGCACAGACAAGGGGACAAGAUCCUCACAACGUUGGUUCCAUAGCGACGGGCGGGGAAGCCCUUGAGCUCAUGCCUUGCUUUUGGAGAAGCUUCUUCGUCGGGAUCGCGAACACGAUCGCCCGCGGAUCGGGAUCAAAGCUUCUUCAUCGAGAUCGCAAACAUGAUUGCCCGCGGGAUCGCAAUCCUAAUCCGCGGGGAAAGAAA